GAGUACAAUACUUGCUCCCUCCGAUCUCUAGUCUUCUUGAUUUACUCUUUUCUUGUGUGUUUUCAGAGUGAAGAUUGAACAUAAGACUUGAAUGUAAUAAAAAAAUGGGAGAGGGGAAAAAAGAGGGGAAGAGUGGAUGCUUUAGUGUUACAAUAGUUCUUUGUAUACUUUUGAUCGUGGGAUUAGAUGUUAUCGCUGGUUUCGUGGCAAUGCAAGCCGAAGUCGCCCAACAAGAGGUGAAACACACGAGGGUAUAUAUGGUUACUCGAGUGUAAAUAUCCAAGCCAAAAAGCUUUCGUGUUAGGGAUAAUAGCAUUAGGUUGUUUGGUAGCAGCUCAUAUCAUCGCCAUUUUUAUAGGAUGCAGCAUCUCCAAUAUGAUCAAAGUACUCGCCGUACCUAAGCUCUGUGCAUACAUCAACAUGGCAUGUCUUUCUCUCACUUGGAUCGUAGCAAUUUUCGGAGCGGGGGUACUUACGAUGGGGAUAUGGACGAACAGAGAGUCGAGAUCAAAACGCGGAU
Long non-coding RNA from Raphanus sativus (radish), 520 nucleotides. RefSeq lists it as uncharacterized. The transcript has 3 exons. The record is from RefSeq and is a predicted model, not a curated record. NCBI's taxonomy places the organism in Eukaryota, Viridiplantae, Streptophyta, Magnoliopsida, Brassicales, Brassicaceae.